ACCGGAGUCGAGCCUUGUCAUCAUUGGUUUGUUGGGUAAGGAAACCUAACCUGUUUAUGUCUUCUUCUUCUGCAAGUUCGUGUU
This 84-nucleotide small RNA is filed under the name Arabidopsis thaliana (thale cress). Its description in RNAcentral is "ATSL278450". The record is from RNAcentral. Lineage: Eukaryota; Viridiplantae; Streptophyta; Magnoliopsida; Brassicales; Brassicaceae.